RNAcentral lists this unclassified non-coding RNA (803 nucleotides) under Hevea brasiliensis (rubber tree). Lineage: Eukaryota; Viridiplantae; Streptophyta; Magnoliopsida; Malpighiales; Euphorbiaceae. The record is from RNAcentral.
AGUAAACCAAUUUACAAUGCAUUUAAGGCUAUCCAAGAAUCUUCCCAAUGGCAGUCUCUAAGUAAUGCUCAGAAACGUAUAGUGGAAUCUCAAAUAAAGGAGGCAGUUCUUAAUGGUGUUGCUCUUGAAGAUGAUAAAAGGGUAGAAUUCAACAAAAUUGAACAGGAGCUGGAGAGGCUAUCGCAAAAGUUUGGGGAGAAUGUAUUGGAUGCCACAAAGAAAUUUGAAAAACUCAUUACAGACAAAAAAGAAAUUGAAGGGUUGCCUGCUACUGCACUUUCAUUGGCUGCACAAACAGCAAUUUCCAAGGGGCACAAAGAAGCAACUGCUGAGAAUGGACCAUGGAUAAUUACAUUGGAUGCCCCAAGUUUUAUGUCUGUCAUGCAACAUGCUCAUAACCGUGCUUUGCGUGAAGAAGUCUACCGUGCUUAUGUAACUCGUGCUUCAAGCGGUGAUCUGGAUAACACACCAAUUAUUGAUCAAAUAUUAAAGCUUAGACAGGAAAAGGCUAAGCUUCUCAAUUACAGCAACUAUGCUGAGGUAAGCAUGGCAACAAAAAUGGCGACUGUUCAAAAGGCAGAAGAGCUCUUAGAAAAGCUGCGCACAGCUUCCUGGGAUGCUGCAGUGCAAGAUAUGGAGGACCUUAAAAUUUUUGCCAAGAAUCAAGAUGCAAUAGAAGCAAAUGAUUUAAGUCACUGGGAUAUUAACUUUUGGGCUGAAAGGCUUCGUGAGUCAAGAUAUGAAAUCAAUGAGGAAGAACUACGGCCAUAUUUUUCAUUGCCAAAGGUUAUGGAUGGCCUUUU